AACGAACGCUGGCGGCAUGCCUAACACAUGCAAGUCGAACGAGAACUCCGGGCUUAGGGGCGCACGGGGGCGUAACGCGGGGGAACCAGCCCGUAGGUUCGGAAUCACUCACCGAGAGGGGUCCUAAUAACAGAGAAUGUAAUCGGACCUAAGAUUUAUCGCUGUUGGAUGGGGGCGCGUUGGCUUCGCUAGUUGGUAGGGUAAAAGCCUGCCAAGGCGACGUUGCAUAGCUGGUCUGGGAGGAUGCUCAGCCACACUGGGACUGCGACACGGGCCAGAAUCCUACGGAAGGCUGCAGUGGGGAAUAUUGGACGAUGGGCGAUGGCCUGAUACAGCAAUGCCGCGUAAGUGAUGAAGGGCUUAGGGUUGUAAAGCUGUUUUACCCGAGAUGAUAAUGACGGUACCGGGAGAAUAAGCUCCGGCUAACUCCGUG
This 433-nucleotide ribosomal RNA is filed under the name uncultured bacterium. RNAcentral's name for it is "partial 16S ribosomal RNA". It matches the Rfam family "Bacterial small subunit ribosomal RNA", at positions 29 to 507 of the family's 1533-position model. The record is from RNAcentral.